GAUGAACGCUGGCGGCGUGCUUAACACAUGCAAGUCGAACGGUGAAGCAGGAGCUUGCUCUUGUGGAUCAGUGGCGAACGGGUGAGUAACACGUGAGCAACCUGCCCCUGACUCUGGGAUAAGCGCUGGAAACGGCGUCUAAUACUGGAUAUGUGAUGUGACCGCAUGGUCUGCAUCUGGCAAGAAUUUCGGUUGGGGAUGGGCUCGCGGCCUAUCAGCUUGUUGGUGAGGUAAUGGCUCACCAAGGCGUCGACGGGUAGCCGGCCCGAGAGGGUGACCGGCCACACUGGGUCUGAGACACGGCCCAGACUCCUACGGGAGGCAGCAGUGGGGAAUAUUGCACAAUGGGCGGAAGCCUGAUGCAGCAACGCCGCGUGAGGGAUGACGGCCUUCGGGUUGUGAACCUCUUUUAGCAGGGAAGAAGCGAAAGUGACGGUACCUGCAGAAAAAGCACCGGCUAACUACGUGCCAGCAGCCGCCGUAA
This 484-nucleotide ribosomal RNA is filed under the name uncultured bacterium. RNAcentral's name for it is "partial 16S ribosomal RNA". It matches the Rfam family "Bacterial small subunit ribosomal RNA", at positions 28 to 523 of the family's 1533-position model. The record is from RNAcentral.